GAUGAACGCUGGCGGCGUGCCUAAUACAUGCAAGUCGGGCGAACAGACGAGGAGCUUGCUCCUCUGACGUUAGCGGCGGACGGGUGAGUAACACGUGGAUAACCUACCUAUAAGACUGGGAUAACUUCGGGAAACCGGAGCUAAUACCGGAUAAUAUAUUGAACCGCAUGGUUCAAUAGUGAAAGACGGUUUUGCUGUCACUUAUAGAUGGAUCCGCGCCGCAUUAGCUAGUUGGUAAGGUAACGGCUUACCAAGGCAACGAUGCGUAGCCGACCUGAGAGGGUGAUCGGCCACACUGGAACUGAGACACGGUCCAGACUCCUACGGGAGGCAGCAGUAGGGAAUCUUCCGCAAUGGGCGAAAGCCUGACGGAGCAACGCCACGUGAGUGAUGAAGGUCUUCGGAUCGUAAAACUCUGUUAUUAGGGAAGAACAAAUGUGUAAGUAACUAUGCACGUCUUGACGGUACCUAAUCAGAAAGCCACGGCUAACUACGUG
This 497-nucleotide ribosomal RNA is filed under the name uncultured bacterium. Its description in RNAcentral is "partial 16S ribosomal RNA". It matches the Rfam family "Bacterial small subunit ribosomal RNA", at positions 28 to 507 of the family's 1533-position model. The record is from RNAcentral.